This 364-nucleotide long non-coding RNA is filed under the name Hordeum vulgare. Its description in RNAcentral is "long non-coding RNA (HVUL_LNC012739)". Lineage: Eukaryota; Viridiplantae; Streptophyta; Magnoliopsida; Poales; Poaceae. The record is from RNAcentral.
UGGAAUCACUUUGUCCUUCCUCAGCCGAGUUGAAUACAGAUGACGAAAAUGCCCUGGCGUCCGUCGCCGGUGCGGGCGUUCGUCGCCGCGGGUGUUCGUCGCCCUGAAAAAUCCGUAUCCUCGUGUUCUUGUGAUUGUUCGUCGAUCCUCGGUUCCAACAUUGAUGGCAUAGACUUGUCAAAUUUUGUUUGUCGGAUGAUCUUGCAGUCAACAUAUACACUGUUUAUUUUAUAUGGCUGUAGCAACCGUGGGCGGAGUUAGAUCAUUUCAUUGUUCAAAUCAGUUUUGUAUAGACUUAACAUGUUAAUUUUAACGUAAGACUGUAGCCAUUUCUUGUUAGUUUAUUAUUUGUAUUAUGUUUGUG